This 292-nucleotide ribosomal RNA is filed under the name uncultured prokaryote. Its description in RNAcentral is "partial 16S ribosomal RNA". It matches the Rfam family "Bacterial small subunit ribosomal RNA", at positions 505 to 796 of the family's 1533-position model. The record is from RNAcentral.
GUGCUAGCAGCCGCGGUAAUACGGAGGGUGCGAGCUUUAAUCGGAAUUACUGGGCGUAAAGCGGAUGCAGGUGGUUUGUUAAGUCAGAUGUGAAAGCCCGGGGCUCAACCUCGGAAUUGCAUUUGAAACUGGCAGGCUAGAGUACUGUAGAGGGAGGUAGAAUUUCAGGUGUAGCGGUGAAAUGCGUAGAGAUCUGAAGGAAUACCGGUGGCGAAGGCGGCCCCCUGGACAGAUACUGACACUCAGAUGCGAAAGCGUGGGGAGCAAACCGGAUUAGAUACCCCUGUAGUCC